GAGAGAAUAGCCGCCUGCGUGGGUGGUCUGGGGCUCCAGAGCCCAAACUCAGAGGGAACAGAUGACAUCAUGGAUUCACAUGACAGGCUCCUGAUGGCAAUGAAACUUCUUCUGAAGAAUGGUCCCCCUUUGUCUAGGAAGGAUGCCUCCUUUAGGACUUACAGGGAAUAUCCAGAGAGGCUGGGUCACCUCUGGGCCAUCAAGAGGGGAGCUCUGGUGAUGCAGCACUUCAUAAAGGGGGCUCGGUGACUGUCUUUAGGACUUUGUCACCCACUCAGUAAGAUUGCAGCUUGCUUUCCUCAUCUUCCCUAGGUGUCAAAGGAGGGUGUUCAGAUUGCAAGUGGGACUCGUAUUCCUUCCUCAAGUGGCGCUUGUGGUCUCAUUCCACCGUCAGGAAUAACCACGUUUCCAGGCAAACAAUAACACUUGGGCAGGUGAUGGCAGCCUUACCUCACUAGCCUCCUGCUGGCAGCGACUGAGAUGCCAUCUGCUCGCUGUGACUUGUAGCCUGAUUUCAGAGAUAAU
This is a long non-coding RNA of Phacochoerus africanus (Common warthog), 525 nucleotides long. RefSeq lists it as uncharacterized. The record is from RefSeq and is a predicted model, not a curated record. The transcript is spliced from 3 exons. Lineage: Eukaryota; Metazoa; Chordata; Mammalia; Artiodactyla; Suidae.